CCUACGGGGGGCAGCAGUGGGGAAUAUUGCGCAAUGGGCGAAAGCCUGACGCAGCGACGCCGCGUGAGGGAUGAAGGUCUUCGGAUCGUAAACCUCUGUCAGCAGGGAAGAACGGUCACUGUGCUAAUCAGCAGUGAAUUGACGGUACCUGCAAAGGAAGCACCGGCUAACUCCGUGCCAGCAGCCGCGGUAAUACGGAGGGUGCGAGCGGUAAUCGGAAGUACUGGGCGUAAAGCUCUCGUAGGUGGUAUGUCAAGUCAAGGGUGAAAUCCCCGCGCUCAACGGGGGAACUGCCUUUGAAACUGGCAAACUGGAGUAUGUGAGAGGAUAGUGGAAUUCGAGGUGUAGGGGUGAAAUCCGUAGAUAUCUGGAGGAACAUCAGUGGCGAAGGCGACUAUCUGGCACAUAACUGACGCUGAGGAGCGAAAGCGUGGGUAGCAAACAGGAUUAGAUACCCCUGUAGUC
This 465-nucleotide ribosomal RNA is filed under the name uncultured bacterium. RNAcentral's name for it is "partial 16S ribosomal RNA". It matches the Rfam family "Bacterial small subunit ribosomal RNA", at positions 338 to 795 of the family's 1533-position model. The record is from RNAcentral.